AGCGGCGGACGGGUGAGUAAUACUUAGGAAUCUACCUAGUAGUGGGGGAUAGCUCGGGGAAACUCGAAUUAAUACCGCAUACGACCUACGGGAGAAAGGGGGCAACUUGUUGCUCUCGCUAUUAGAUGAGCCUAAGUCGGAUUAGCUAGAUGGUGGGGUAAAGGCCUACCAUGGCGACGAUCUGUAGCUGGUCUGAGAGGAUGAUCAGCCACACCGGGACUGAGACACGGCCCGGACUCCUACGGGAGGCAGCAGUGGGGAAUAUUGGACAAUGGGGGAAACCCUGAUCCAGCCAUGCCGCGUGUGUGAAGAAGGCCUUUUGGUUGUAAAGCACUUUAAGCAGUGAAGAAGACUCUUCGGUUAAUACCCGGAGACGAUGACAUUAGCUGCAGAAUAAGCACCGGCUAACUCUGUGCCAGCAGCCGCGGUAAUACAGAGGGUGCAAGCGUUAAUCGGAAUUACUGGGCGUAAAGCGAGCGUAGGUGGCUUGAUAAGUCAGAUGUGAAAUCCCCGGGCUUAACCUGGGAACUGCAUCUGAUACUGUCAGGCUAGAGUAGGUGAGAGGAAGGUAGAAUUCCAGGUGUAGCGGUGAAAUGCGUAGAGAUCUGGAGGAAUACCGAUGGCGAAGCAGCCUUCUGGCAUCAUACUGACACUGAGGCUCGAAAGCGUGGGUAGCAAACAGGAUUAGAUACCCUGGUAGUCCACGCCGUAAACGAUGUCUACUAGUCGUUGG
Molecule: ribosomal RNA, 733 nt
Filed under: Psychrobacter sp. E3(2011)
Lineage: Bacteria; Pseudomonadati; Pseudomonadota; Gammaproteobacteria; Moraxellales; Moraxellaceae
Description: bacterial SSU rRNA
Rfam family: Bacterial small subunit ribosomal RNA
Source: RNAcentral